AUGAACGCUAGCUACAGGCUUAACACAUGCAAGUCGAGGGGCAGCAUGGUCUUAGCUUGCUAAGACUGAUGGCGACCGGCGCACGGGUGAGUAACACGUAUCCAACCUGCCGUCUACUCUUGGACAGCCUUCUGAAAGGAAGAUUAAUACAAGAUGGCAUCAUGAGUCCGCAUGUUCACAUGAUUAAAGAUUUAUCGGUGUACGAUGGGGAUGCGUUCCAUUAGGUAGUAGGCGGGGUAACGGCCCACCUAGCCUACGAUGGAUAGGGGUUCUGAGAGGAAGGUCCCCCACAUUGGAACUGAGACACGGUCCAAACUCCUACGGGAGGCAGCAGUGAGGAAUAUUGGUCAAUGGACGAGAGUCUGAACCAGCCAAGUAGCGUGAAGGAUGAAGGUCCUACGGAUUGUAAACUUCUUUUAUAAGGGAAUAAAACCUCCCACGUGUGGGAGCUUGUAUGUACCUUAUGAAUAAGCAUCGGCUAACUCCGUG
Molecule: ribosomal RNA, 489 nt
Filed under: uncultured bacterium
Lineage: Bacteria
Description: bacterial SSU rRNA
Rfam family: Bacterial small subunit ribosomal RNA
Source: RNAcentral